CAUGAAGCUGGAAUCGCUAGUAAUCGCGGAUCAGAAUGCCGCGGUGAAUACGUUCCCGGGUCUUGUACACACCGCCCGUCACACCAUGGGAGCCGGUAAUACCCGAAGUCAGUAGUCCAACCUCGUGAGGACGCUGCCGAAGGUAGGAUUGGCGACUGGGGUGAAGUCGUAACAAGGUAAC
Molecule: ribosomal RNA, 181 nt
Filed under: uncultured bacterium
Lineage: Bacteria
Description: partial 16S ribosomal RNA
Rfam family: Bacterial small subunit ribosomal RNA
Source: RNAcentral